Taeniopygia guttata (zebra finch) is the source of this 2243-nucleotide non-coding RNA. NCBI's taxonomy places the organism in Eukaryota, Metazoa, Chordata, Aves, Passeriformes, Estrildidae. The record is from RefSeq and is a predicted model, not a curated record.
GGCCUAAAAUUGAUACCGUGUCCUGCAGGUUGUACAAGGCCUCUGCUGCUGCAGACACCUCACACUGUGCUAUAAAUCCCUGUACUGCCUUUGCUGGGGAUGAUUUUUUCUCAUUUUGUGACAGGAGUGUGGCUGAUCAAAGAGCUCCGUCCCCUACUCGGCACAAGGCAGCUUUUUUCCCAACAAUUCUCCCAUUGGUCUGUGAUUUGUCUGGACAAUUAUUUUUAGAUGUGGUUAAACACUUCAGCAAAUGUCGUUUCUAGGCAACCUGCAAGGCUCUUAUGAGCUACCUUGCUUAAUUAUGACCUACUUUUGGUACCGUGUCCAAGUUUCUUAGUAUGUAUUGAGGCUGAUUGCUGGAUUGACCUGGAUAAUGGGAAGCAAGUGUUGGAGGUUCCAUUUAGAAAUCAAGUUUGUACCAACAUGACCCAAAGGUGUAAUUCUCUAAUGAUGCUUUAGCAACACUCUGGGUGUUUUCUGUGGACAAAUAAUGUUUUCCAUCUCAAAGUGGUUGAUUUUAUCUUGGGAGAUGCUACAUUUGAGUGACAAACUGAGUAUUGAUUUCACUUUACAACUUUUUGGAGCUAAAUACUGGUGCCCAGUGAUCUUCAGCAAUAGGUGCUGCAUUUCCUUGGAAGUUUUCCCAAACAACUGGGUUUGCAAACGAGGUACAUAACACCUCCUGCUGCUUGUAAACAGCCCUGGAUUCCUGUCCCCAGCAUGUGCUGGGUUGUUAUCUGCACUGAUGUCUGACAACUUGAACUGAAGCCUAAGGGGAGACUGCAGGUUUUGGAAUAUGGUUAGAUCUUCUUCCCUGCUUUUAUUUUUGUGCGUCAGUUCCACUGACUCAAGGCAGUGGCACCUGGAUGCUGUGGGAGAUGAAAGAAAAAACCUAUCAAGGAUGAAUAAAAUAUAAUUUGAGUUCUACCCCGAGGUAAUGAAUUCCUUCUCUCCGUUCUGCGAUUGUGCUUUGAGGGAGUUUUUCCAAAUCCAAAGGCUUCCAGUGCUGGUUGGAGCUAUUUCUGUAGUCAGCAUCAGCUGGAGAUGGCAUCCUUCAAGACCACUAGACUUCUUCAAAGAGUGAGUCAGGAGAUAAAAAGUCAGGGAGUUUAAGAAGUGGUUGAGUAAAUCAGAAGAACCUGAAAUCAAACGAACUUCUUUGACAAAAAGGAAACUCUUAAGAGGGUAAUUAGUCAGUGGUAGAUUGUACCCAACUUGAGGCAUUCUGGAUUAAAACAUGCCUGGUUUUAGAGGUCUGAAAGUGGAACUGAGCUGGGUUACUCCAAGCCAUCCCUUUAAAAAUCUCUGUUUUCUUGGUGUGGAGCUUUUAGGGCUCACAAACUCAGAGCAGGGAAUGACCUCGGCAUGAGAAGGAGGCAGGGAUGAAAGGACUUCCCUCCAGUCCUUCAAAUAUUUGUUUUCCACCUGGGAAUGUGCAUUGGGAAGGGAAUAGUUACAGCUUCUGGCCUUACCACUGGUCUGCCUCCACAGGGUGGUCAACUGGAAAUUUGAUUCCAAAAUAUUUCAACAGCAAGACUGUCAGGAAUCUUCUCUGCUUUUGUUUGUUUGGCUCUUGUUUUAGUGUAGGACUUUCUCAUGUUUUCAGUUACUUCUUUGUGAUGAGGCAAGAGUUGCCUUCAGAAUUGGGAUGCAUGACAAUGACUAAUUAAAAUAUUUUAAAUUUUACCAAUUUUUGCAAUUUCCUGUCGACUUAAUGGAAAACUAUAUAAGAAAUGGACAACUUCCAUGACAUUUUGAGAGGUUGGUUGUUUUAGUGCCAUUUCAGUAAUUAUUCAAGAUAAUGGAUUUGCUGACAACAGCAACAAAAAAAUUGUGCAUCACUUAACUUUAGUUGAAGAUGCUCCCUGCUCAUUGCAGUGAGUCUGGAAUAGACGACCUCUAAAUGUCCCUUCCAACCCAAACUAUUCUGUGAUUUUAUGAAAGUCCUUUUGUAACAUUGUUGGAAGCAGAGAUGGAUUCCGCCUGCUGAAACAGCCCAGCUGAGAAAUUCUGACUUCUGGGAAAAAGCAGGUUCCCUGUUCAAAUGAGACACACAGAGCUGGAGACACGUGGUUGAAAAGUGUCCCGGUGCAGCCACAUCUUGGAUUUCCUGCUGCAGAGCAGGAGGCCUGAUGAGGCAGGACAAUUAACCCAGGAAAUUGGGACAGGCUAUUUGGCUUUUGUUGAAGCCACGAAGAGUCAGGCUGUAGUUCUAAAACAAAGUGGAGGUUUUUCAAUUAUCA